Molecule: ribosomal RNA, 305 nt
Filed under: uncultured bacterium
Lineage: Bacteria
Description: bacterial SSU rRNA
Rfam family: Bacterial small subunit ribosomal RNA
Source: RNAcentral
UUUACCUACGGGAGGCAGCAGUGGGGAAUAUUGCACAAUGGGGGGAACCCUGAUGCAGCGACGCCGCGUGGGUGAAGAAGUCAUUCGUGACGUAAAGCCCUAUCAGCAGGGAAGAAAAUGACGGUACCUGAGUAAGAAGCCCCGGCUAACUACGUGCCAGCAGCCGCGGUAAUACGUAGGGGGCAAGCGUUAUCCGGAUUUACUGGGUGUAAAGGGAGCGUAGACGGCGAUGCAAGUCUGAAGUGAAAGCCCGGGGCUCAACCCCGGGACUGCUUUGGAAACUGUAUGGCUGGAGUGCUGGAGAG